Molecule: long non-coding RNA, 2293 nt
Filed under: Equus caballus (horse)
Lineage: Eukaryota; Metazoa; Chordata; Mammalia; Perissodactyla; Equidae
Description: lncRNA (ENSECAG00000039824.3)
Source: RNAcentral
CGCGGCCUGGUUGGGCUGCCGCGUCCAGAACGCGGCGUUUUUGGUGACGUCGCGCCCGGGAGGGAGUAGUUUGCUCCGGGGCGGCUCGAGCAGCCCGGUUUCACGUGGGCUGUGAACAGAAGCCUGACGUCCAGGCCGCGGCGCCAGACCAAGUCCUUUGGCCUUGCGAGCAGGCUUCGUGAUGGCGGGAGCAAAGCCGUGACUGACUGCGGCCCAUUGAGGCUUACCCCUUAUGGUCUCAGUGGGCCUGGGUCUCCUGACCUAAUGAAAGUGGGAGAAGUAAAAACGAUUGAAAAGAGAGGAAUACGCUGGAAGUUUAAGGAAGCUGAUAGGCAAAAGCAAACAGUAGGUGUUACAGAAGAGAGCAAGAAGAUAGAAGAUGAUUUUCCUCCUCCUCCUGUACCACGUUCUUCAUUUUGCAACUAACACAUAGUUGAGUAGGUCUAUGUAGUGCUUUAUUUUUUCUCUAAGUCCACUCUUGCUUGAUAGAACAGAAAAAGGGACAGCUUAAGAGCAGAGACAGCUAGAGGCAUGGUAACUAAAAAGGAAUCCAGUUGCUGUCCUUCCUAGAAGGUACUAGAAAGAAAGAUGUAAACUAAGUGAUGAUAUUGUGGGACAUUUGCCAAUUCAAACCAGAUUUCAAUGAUUAUGCUCAAUAAUAUAAAUAGGUGCUAGACUUCCAAUUUUGUAUGGCUGAGAAGUCCAGAAAAUUUGUUGCCAGCAUAUCAGAAAUGAAUACAAGUGAUUUAUAUUUCUUCUACUCAUGUACAUUGUAGCAAAUAGCACUCUAAAAAGUUCAAGGGUAAGACAGUGCAAACUAGUGACACAUUCAGGUAUGCCAUUGGUCUUAUCAUUGCUCUAGCAUCUCACAAGUGUCCUUAUUACAUCUAGGUAGUGUUUUCUUUCCUGGUCAGUUAUGGCCUUUAGAAUACAAAUGAACAUCAGUAGACGGAGUAAACUCAUGUUUUUUUGGUAAAACUUAAGGUUGUCCCUCCCACAAGAUAUGAAAAUAUCUUGUACAAAGCACUUGAUUCCUUACUGAUUUUAUUUAUAGUUGUUAAUAUCAUCCUACAUCCAAAUUACUCCUUCACAAGAAUCAUCAAACUAACUCUACACUUGUGUGAGCAUGAUGAUCACAUGUCCUUUCUCCCAUUGUCAUUUUUAAUGCACUUGGAGAAAACACAAAAGAUGAUUUGAAGUAUGAGACCUGUGGCAUAUAGUCUCAUCACAUUCACUUUCAUUCUGGAAGAUGAUUUUGAUUUGAGUCCUUAUUACUUUGUUACUAUUUCUUUUUUAUGGAAAUUGUCAUCGUUUUGGACUAAACUUAAGGAUUAAGUUUAGGCAUUUACAACUGAUUUUUAGGCAUUUACAACUGAUUUGUGGGAGAAGGUUUAAAUUUGAUUGCAGGGAGUCUGAAUGAAAAUUUCUUAUUACAAUUUUUAUGAAGUUUAUAUUUGAUUAUAAUUUUAAUGUCUUUAACCUUUAACAGCACAAGCCGCCGACAUAAGAAGCUUGUUUUACAUCAUGGGGUCAUUGAGUAGGUUGUAAAGUUUCAUUAGCACAAGCCUUGGGUAAAACUGGCGUAGGUGACAUUUGGCUUUGCUAUUCAUAACCUCAUCUUUUUUUGCUUUCUCUGAAACUUGGUACAGCUGGUAUUCCUUCUGGCCUUGAGCACCCCUGUGUGCUCUCUUUCCUUCUAUUGAUCCAUACUUGCUGCCUUAGGAAAUGUCUGAUUUCAGUUUUCAUCUCUUUGUAUGAAUUUAGGUCUAGGUGUUACUCAUAUUGUGGAGGCAAAAUUGAUUGAUUGGUCUCCUACUUAAAGUAUUUCAGGCAUCACUGAAGGUGGGAGAGGGGGCAGAGGGCCUUCCCAGUGACCCAGGGAUAAGGUCUGCCUUGAUGACAAGAAACUCAAGUAGUACAAGGGGGAAAAAAAUUUGAAAAGAAAGAAAUAUGAACUAAACUUAUCAAAUAUGAGUGAGUUUGGUAGAAUUGAAUUUUUCACUGAAUUUAUUGCACUAAAAUUGGCAGGCUGAAAGUCAGAUUCUGAUUUAUCUCUUUCCUGUUACAGACACUAAUUUGAUCCAGGCAAACAAUUUUGCAAACCACCCAGCGUUUCUGUGUUUUCAAAGUGAAGUUGAUCAUCCUUUCCACCAGCCCAUCUUUAGGCUAGGCAACUGUACUCAAGAUGUGGGUCAAGAAGUGCUUUUACAUCCUUGAGUCAGAUGUGACUGCAUGUGUGCAAGCAAUAGAGAGAUUAGUGAGGAAAAAAUUAAUAGCUGGGGGAGAAAAAGAC